UCCGAGUUGACCCCGGCAGUCUCCUGCGAGUCCCCGCCAUUACGCGCUGGCAACACAGGACAAGGGUUGCGCUCGUUGCGGGACUUAACCCAACAUCUCACGACACGAGCUGACGACAGCCAUGCACCACCUGUAUACCGACCACAAGGGGGGCCGUAUCUCUACGGCUUUCCGGUAUAUGUCAAACCCAGGUAAGGUGGGGAUGACGUAUCUUACAGCGUAC
Molecule: unclassified non-coding RNA, 223 nt
Filed under: uncultured Nocardiaceae bacterium
Lineage: Bacteria; Bacillati; Actinomycetota; Actinomycetes; Mycobacteriales; Nocardiaceae
Description: contains 16S-23S intergenic spacer region
Source: RNAcentral